UGCACUCACUGCUUACCCGGAGCGUGUGAACAUCAGCUAGGAGAAAACGACGUUCUUCCAGAGCUGUAGAAAGCAGGAUGUGUGAGGUAUGGUAGAAGAACUGGGAAGAGCCUACUGAACAGAAAAACUUGGGAGAACUGGCAAAUGUUUAAGCUUGAGACAUCGUGUUUCUGUUCCUAUUCCUGUCUUCCAUUCAUGCAACUUGACAGAUGGAAAAAUGACAGAAAGCCACCCUGGACUCCUCUUCCUACACCUCUUGGUGCUCACUGCAAGGAGAGAGCUGUCCCCAGGAGUGCAGGGCUGCUAGCCACAGAUCUCCGUGCCCUGCAGUGGGCAUGUGUGCUGAUACCUCUCAGAAAGGAAGGAGCUACCCCCUGG
RNAcentral lists this long non-coding RNA (378 nucleotides) under Gallus gallus (chicken). Its description in RNAcentral is "long non-coding RNA NONGGAT003647". The record is from RNAcentral. Lineage: Eukaryota; Metazoa; Chordata; Aves; Galliformes; Phasianidae.